Molecule: non-coding RNA, 163 nt
Organism: Pelobates cultripes (western spadefoot toad)
Lineage: Eukaryota; Metazoa; Chordata; Amphibia; Anura; Pelobatidae
Source: the annotation of a GenBank genome assembly
GUGUGUAUCUGUGUUUGUAUGUGUGUAUCUGUGUGUGUGUGUGUAUGUAUCUGACACACAGAUACACACUGUGUGUGAAGGUGUGUAUAUCUGUAUGUCAGAUACAUACACACACACACACACACAGAUAUACACACUGGCACAAACAAACACAGAUACACAC